This 435-nucleotide ribosomal RNA is filed under the name uncultured bacterium. RNAcentral describes it as "partial 16S ribosomal RNA". It matches the Rfam family "Bacterial small subunit ribosomal RNA", at positions 29 to 506 of the family's 1533-position model. The record is from RNAcentral.
AACGAACGCUGGCGGCAUGCCUAACACAUGCAAGUCGAACGAGAUCCUUCGGGGUCUAGUGGCGCACGGGUGCGUAACGCGUGGGAAUCUGCCCUUAGGUUCGGAAUAACAGUUAGAAAUGACUGCUAAUACCGGAUGAUGACGUUAAGUCCAAAGAUUUAUCGCCUGAGGAUGAGCCCGCGUAGGAUUAGCUAGUUGGUGUGGUAAAGGCGCACCAAGGCGACGAUCCUUAGCUGGUCUGAGAGGAUGAUCAGCCACACUGGGACUGAGACACGGCCCAGACUCCUACGGGAGGCAGCAGUGGGGAAUAUGGGACAAUGGGCGCAAGCCUGAUCCAGCAAUGCCGCGUGAGUGAUGAAGGCCUUAGGGUUGUAAAGCUCUUUUACCCGAGAUGAUAAUGACAGUAUCGGGAGAAUAAGCCCCGGCUAACUCCGU